AUUCCGGUUGAUCCUGCCGGAGGCCAUUGCUAUCGGAGUCCGAUUUAGCCAUGCUAGUCGUGCGAGUUCAGACUCGCGGCACCGAGCUCAGUAACACGUGGCCAAACUACCCUACAGAGACGGAUACCCUCGGGAAACUGAGGUUAACCCGUCAUACCGAUCUCAGGCUUGAAUCGCAGAGAUCACAAAACGCCCCGGCGCUGUAGGAUGUGGCUGCGGUUGAUUAGGUAGACGGUGGGGUAACGGCCCACCGUGCCCAUAAUCAGUACAGGUUGUGAGAGCAAGAACCUGGAGACGGAAUCUGAGACAAGAUUCCGGGCCCUACGGGGCGCAGCAGGCGCGAAACCUUUACACUGCACGCACGUGCGAUAAGGGGACUCCGAGUGCGAGGGCAUAUCGUCCUCGCUUUCGUGUACCGUAGGGUGGUACACCAACAAGGGCUGGGCAAGACCGGUGCCAGCCGCCGCGGUAAUACCGGCAGCCCGAGUGAUGGCCGAUCUUAUUGGGCCUAAAGCGUCCGUAGUU
Molecule: ribosomal RNA, 525 nt
Filed under: uncultured haloarchaeon
Lineage: Archaea; Methanobacteriati; Methanobacteriota; Halobacteria; Halobacteriales; Halobacteriaceae
Description: bacterial SSU rRNA
Rfam family: Archaeal small subunit ribosomal RNA
Source: RNAcentral